GGAAAAGAAACCAACAGGGAUUGCCCCAGUAACGGCGAGUGAAGCGGCAACAGCUCAAAUUUGAAAUCUGGCCCCUAGGGCCCGAGUUGUAAUUUGUAGAGGAUGCUUUUGGCGAGGCGCCGCCCGAGUUCCCUGGAACGGGACGCCACAGAGGGUGAGAGCCCCGUCUGGCUGGCCGCCGAGCCUCUGUAAAGCUCCUUCGACGAGUCGAGUAGUUUGGGAAUGCUGCUCAAAAUGGGAGGUAUAUGUCUUCUAAAGCUAAAUACCGGCCAGAGACCGAUAGCGCACAAGUAGAGUGAUCGAAAGAUGAAAAGCACUUUGAAAAGAGGGUUAAACAGUACGUGAAAUUGUUGAAAGGGAAGCGCUCAUGACCAGACUUGGGCUUGGCGGAUCAUCCGGCGUUCUCGCCGGUGCACUUCGCCUCGCCCAGGCCAGCAUCAGUUCGCGCCGGGGGAUAAAAGCUUCGGGAAUGUGGCUCCUCCGGGAGUGUUAUAGCCCGCUGCACAAUACCCUGGUGCGGACUGAGGUUCGCGCAUCUGCAAGGAUGCUGGCGUAAUGGUCAUCAGCGACCCGUCUUGAAACACGGACCAAGGAGUCGUCUUCGUAUGCGAGUGUUCGGGUGUCAAACCCCUACGCGUAAUGAAAGUGAACGCAGGUGAGAGCUUCGGCGCAUCAUCGACCGAUCCUGAUGUUCUCGGAUGGAUUUGAGUAAGAGCAUACGGGGCCGGACCCGAAAGAAGGUGAACUAUGCCUGUAUAGGGUGAAGCCAGAGGAAACUCUGGUGGAGGCUCGCAGCGGUUCUGACGUGCAAAUCGAUCGUCAAAUAUGGGCAUGGGGGCGAAAGACUAAUCGAACCUUCUAGUAGCUGGUUCGC
This 874-nucleotide ribosomal RNA is filed under the name Cladobotryum penicillatum. RNAcentral's name for it is "LSU rRNA". It matches the Rfam family "Eukaryotic large subunit ribosomal RNA", at positions 55 to 959 of the family's 3401-position model. Lineage: Eukaryota; Fungi; Ascomycota; Sordariomycetes; Hypocreales; Hypocreaceae. The record is from RNAcentral.